GACGAACGCUGGCGGCGUGCCUAAUACAUGCAAGUAGAACGCUGAAGGAGGAGCUUGCUUCUCUGGAUGAGUUGCGAACGGGUGAGUAACGCGUAGGUAACCUGCCUGGUAGCGGGGGAUAACUAUUGGAAACGAUAGCUAAUACCGCAUAACAGUAGAUAUCGCAUGAUAUCUACUUGAAAGGUGCAAUUGCAUCACUACCAGAUGGACCUGCGUUGUAUUAGCUAGUUGGUGAGGUAACGGCUCACCAAGGCGACGAUACAUAGCCGACCUGAGAGGGUGGUGGGCCACACUGGGACUGGACAACGGCCCAGACUCCUACGGGAGGCAGCAGUAGGGAAUCUUCGGCAAUGGACGGAAGUCUGCCCGGGCAAGCCCGGGGGAGUGAAAAAGUUUUUCGGAUCGAAAAGCUUUUUUGUAAGGGAAAAACGGGUGGGGGGGGGGAAAGUUCAACCUGGGCCGGUUUUUUACCAAAAAGGGGCGGCUAACUACGU
Molecule: ribosomal RNA, 494 nt
Filed under: uncultured bacterium
Lineage: Bacteria
Description: partial 16S ribosomal RNA
Rfam family: Bacterial small subunit ribosomal RNA
Source: RNAcentral